Molecule: long non-coding RNA, 361 nt
Organism: Mauremys reevesii (Reeves's turtle)
Lineage: Eukaryota; Metazoa; Chordata; Testudines; Geoemydidae
Exons: 3
Source: RefSeq, a predicted model, not a curated record
AGACAGAUCUCUGCACCCACAUUGGCUCCAGUUGACUUCAAUGUGGCUCGAUAAGCAGAGGGGUCCAACUGCAGAAUUGGGGUCCCCAUUUGAAGACAAGGGGUUCCAACUGAAAUGUCUCUUAUUUCUUUGCAGAGUCAAGACCAGCUGAAAGGGAAAACAUGGACUUUCCUAAACUGGUCAUAGAUGACAAGAUUCUCAUGGACAUUCUUGUUCUUGCCCUCAUGCUCAUAGCCAUUGGGAUUGCUUUCCUCAUUUAUCAUCGCAAAGAAAACAUAGAGCCGUCCAAACUGCUGCUAGCUGAGAUCAUUCUCCUGAUCAUUGCUGUAAUUUCCCUCUUCGGUCUCAACAUCAUCGGAAC